UGCCGCGUGAGUGAUGAAGGCCUUUGGGUUGUAAAGCUCUUUCGUCGGGGAAGAAAAUGACUGUACCCGAAUAAGAAAGUCCGGCUAACUUCGUGCCAGCAGCCGCGGUA
RNAcentral lists this ribosomal RNA (110 nucleotides) under uncultured Alphaproteobacteria bacterium. RNAcentral's name for it is "partial 16S ribosomal RNA". It matches the Rfam family "Bacterial small subunit ribosomal RNA", at positions 395 to 522 of the family's 1533-position model. The record is from RNAcentral. Lineage: Bacteria; Pseudomonadati; Pseudomonadota; Alphaproteobacteria.